AAAGAGUCUCAGUAGUAUAACUAAUACACUGGUCUUGUAAACCGGAGA
This 48-nucleotide transfer RNA is filed under the name Crocidura sp. NK10645. RNAcentral's name for it is "partial tRNA-Thr". The record is from RNAcentral. Lineage: Eukaryota; Metazoa; Chordata; Mammalia; Eulipotyphla; Soricidae.